CUCAUAGCGUAUAUUAAGUUGUUGCAGUUAAAACGCUCGUAGUCGGAUUUCGGGGCGGGCUGCUCGGUCUGCCGAUGGGUAUGCACUGGGUGGCGCGUCCUUCCUUCCGGAGACCGCGCCUUCUCUUAACUGAGCGGGCGCGGGAGACGGAACGUUUACCUUGAAAAAAUCAGAGUGUUUCAAGCAGGCAUCUCGCUCUUGCAUGGAUUAGCAUGGGAUAAUGAAAUAGGACUUUGGUGCUAUUUUGUUGGUUUCGAACACCGAAGUAAUGAUUAACAGAGACAGUCAGGGGCACUCGUAUUCCGUCGAGAGAGGUGAAAUUCUCAGACCAACGGAAGACGAACCACUGCGAAAGCAUUUGCCAGGGAUGUUUUCACUGAUCAAGAACGAAAGUUAGGGGAUCGAAGACGAUCAGAUACCGUCGUAGUCUUAACCAUAAACCAUGCCGACUAGGGAUUCGAGGGUGUUCCAUCUGUGACCCCUUGAGCACCUUUCGGGAAACUAAAGUCUUUGGGUUCCGGGGGGAGUAUGGUCGCAAGGCUGAAACUUAAAGGAAUUGACGGAAGGGCACCACCAGGAGUGGAGCCUGCGGCUUAAUUUGACUCAACACGGGGAAACUUACCAGGUCCAGACAUUGUGAGGAUUGACAGAUUGAGAGCUCU
RNAcentral lists this ribosomal RNA (662 nucleotides) under uncultured eukaryote. RNAcentral describes it as "SSU rRNA". It matches the Rfam family "Eukaryotic small subunit ribosomal RNA", at positions 591 to 1258 of the family's 1831-position model. The record is from RNAcentral.